Molecule: ribosomal RNA, 465 nt
Filed under: uncultured bacterium
Lineage: Bacteria
Description: partial 16S ribosomal RNA
Rfam family: Bacterial small subunit ribosomal RNA
Source: RNAcentral
GACGAACGCUGGCGGCGUGCUUAACACAUGCAAGUCGUACGGUAAGGCCCUUUCGGGGGUACACGAGUGGCGAACGGGUGAGUAACACGUGAGUAACCUGCCCACAACUUUGGGAUGACGCUAGGAAACUGGUGCUAAUACUGGAUAUGUGCUCCUGCUGCAUGGUGGGGGUUGGAAAGCUCCGGCGGUUGUGGAUGGACUCGCGGCCUAUCAGCUUGUUGGUGGGGUAGUGGCCUACCAAGGCGGCGACGGGUAGCCGGCCUGAGAGGGUGACCGGCCACAUUGGGACUGAGAUACGGCCCAGACUCCUACGGGAGGCAGCAGUGGGGAAUAUUGCACAAUGGGCGCAAGCCUGAUGCAGCAACGCCGCGUGCGGGAUGACGGCCUUCGGGUUGUAAACCGCUUUCAGCAGGGACGAAGCUUUUUGUGACGGUACCUGCAGAAGAAGCACCGGCUAACUACGUG